This 343-nucleotide unclassified non-coding RNA is filed under the name soil metagenome. RNAcentral describes it as "partial contains 5.8S ribosomal RNA, internal transcribed spacer 2, and large subunit ribosomal RNA". The stretch from base 1 to 120 matches the Rfam family "5.8S ribosomal RNA", at positions 35 to 154 of the family's 154-position model. The record is from RNAcentral.
GAUGAGGAACGUAGCGAAAUGCGAUAAGUAAUGUGAAUUGCAGAAUUCAGUGAAUCAUCGAAUCUUUGAACGCACAUUGCGCCCGCCAGUAUUCUGGCGGGCAUGCCUGUUCGAGCGUCAUUUCAACCCUCAGGCCCCGCCUGGCGUUGGGGAUCGGCGCGGCCCUCUCCGGGCUGCCGGCCCCGAAAACUAGUGGCGGUCUCGCUGUAGUCCUCCUCUGCGCAGUAGCAACGCUCGCACUGGAACUCGGCGCGGCCACGCCGUAAAACACCCCACUUCUGAAAGUUGACCUCGGAUCAGGUAGGAAUACCCGCUGAACUUAAGCAUAUCAAUAAGCGGAGGA